GACGAACGCUGGCGGCGUGCCUAAUACAUGCAAGUAGAACGCUGAAGAGAGGAGCUUGCUCUUCUUGGAUGAGUUGCGAACGGGUGAGUAACGCGUAGGUAACCUGCCUUGUAGCGGGGGAUAACUAUUGGAAACGAUAGCUAAUACCGCAUAACAAUGGAUGACACAUGUCAUUUAUUUGAAAGGGGCAAUUGCUCCACUACAAGAUGGACCUGCGUUGUAUUAGCUAGUAGGUGAGGUAACGGCUCACCUAGGCGACGAUACAUAGCCGACCUGAGAGGGUGAUCGGCCACACUGGGACUGAGACACGGCCCAGACUCCUACGGGAGGCAGCAGUAGGGAAUCUUCGGCAAUGGGGGCAACCCUGACCGAGCAACGCCGCGUGAGUGAAGAAGGUUUUCGGAUCGUAAAGCUCUGUUGUAAGUCAAGAACGAGUGUGAGAGUGGAAAGUUCACACUGUGACGGUAGCUUACCAGAAAGGGACGGCUAACUACGUGCCAGCAGCCGCGGUAAUACGUAGGUCCCGAGCGUUGUCCGGAUUUAUUGGGCGUAAAGCGAGCGCAGGCGGUUUGAUAAGUCUGAAGUUAAAGGCUGUGGCUCAACCAUAGUUCGCUUUGGAAACUGUCAAACUUGAGUGCAGAAGGGGAGAGUGGAAUUCCAUGUGUAGCGGUGAAAUGCGUAGAUAUAUGGAGGAACACCGGUGGCGAAAGCGGCUCUCUGGUCUGUAACUGACGCUGAGGCUCGAAAGCGUGGGGAGCGAACAGGAUUAGAUACCCUGGUAGUCCACGCCGUAAACGAUGAGUGCUAGGUGUUGGAUCCUUUCCGGGAUUCAGUGCCGCAGCUAACGCAUUAAGCACUCCGCCUGGGGAGUACGACCGCAAGGUUGAAACUCAAAGGAAUUGACGGGGGCCCGCACAAGCGGUGGAGCAUGUGGUUUAAUUCGAAGCAACGCGAAGAACCUUACCAGGUCUUGACAUCCCGAUGCUAUUUCUAGAGAUAGAAAGUUACUUCGGUACAUCGGUGACAGGUGGUGCAUGGUUGUCGUCAGCUCGUGUCGUGAGAUGUUGGGUUAAGUCCCGCAACGAGCGCAACCCCUAUUGUUAGUUGCCAUCAUUCAGUUGGGCACUCUAGCGAGACUGCCGGUAAUAAACCGGAGGAAGGUGGGGAUGACGUCAAAUCAUCAUGCCCCUUAUGACCUGGGCUACACACGUGCUACAAUGGUUGGUACAACGAGUUGCGAGUCGGUGACGGCAAGCUAAUCUCUUAAAGCCAAUCUCAGUUCGGAUUGUAGGCUGCAACUCGCCUACAUGAAGUCGGAAUCGCUAGUAAUCGCGGAUCAACACGCCGCGGUGAAUACGUUCCCGGGCCU
RNAcentral lists this ribosomal RNA (1369 nucleotides) under uncultured bacterium. RNAcentral describes it as "bacterial SSU rRNA". It matches the Rfam family "Bacterial small subunit ribosomal RNA", at positions 28 to 1381 of the family's 1533-position model. The record is from RNAcentral.